AUGAACGAGUCACUUUGUAAACCGUAUACAGAAACAGAAAUUUCGGAUGCCCUCUUUCAAAUCGGCCCGUUAAAGGCCCCGGGGUGUGAUGGUUUCCCGGCAAGAUUUUACCAGCGGAACUGGGCGACUUUGAAGGUGGAUAUUGUGGCGGCGGUGCAGGACUUCUUCAUCACUGGCAGUAUGCCAGAUGGAGUUAAUGACACGGCGAUCGUACUGAUUCCAAAAGUUCCCCAUCCAAAGGAAUUAAAGGACUUCAGACCGAUUAGCCUGUGUAACAUGGUGUAUAAGGUUGUUUCUAAAUGCAUGGUCAACAGACUACGACCUCUCCUGGCUGGACUCAUUUCGGAAAAUCAAAGCGCUUUUAUUCCAGGGAGGCUCAUAUCUGACAACUCCAUCAUUGCCUUUGAGUGUAUUCAUCAUAUCCAGGUAGCAAAAAACAAUUCUCCCGCCUUAUGUGCCUAUAAGCUUGAUCUAUCCAAGGCCUAUGAUCGGGUGGAUUGGGAGUUUUUGGAGAAGGCUUUAGCUAAAUGGGGCUUUUCUCAGAUCUGGAUUUCUCGUGUGAUGGCAUGUGUGUCUUCGGUGAAAUAUUCGGUAAAAUUUAAUGGCAAGUUAUUGGAGGCGUUCACCCCAUCCAGGGGGCUCCGCCAAGGUGAUCCGCUAUCCCCCUUUCUCUUCCUUUUUGUAGCUGAUGCUCUUUCUUCUCUCAUAAAGAAGGCUACAAGGGAGGAUGAUCUUCAGGGGGUCAAAAUCAGCAGAAGUGCUCCAGAGAUUUCUCAUCUUCUGUUUGCGGACGACUCUCUCCUGUUCUUCCAUGCGACAGAGCAGCAGGCAACUUUGGUAAAAGGUUUGUUGAACACGUAUGCAUCGGCGACGGGACAACUAAUCAAUCCGUCGAAGUGUUCUAUCCUCUUUUCGAAUCAUUGCCAGCCUAAUGUUAUACAGGAGGUAAAGAAUGUGUUGGAGAUUACUCACGAGGUUUUUGAACCUAAAUACUUGGGCUUGCCAGUCCCUGAAGGAAGAAUGCACAAAGUUAGAUUUGAAACUACUCAAGAUCGGUUGCGGAAGAGGCUUGUGGAUUGGAGUGAGCAAUAUAUGUCCUCGGGCAAUAAAGAGAUUCUCAUCAAGGCCGUUGCCCAGGCCAUUCCUACUUAUGUGAUGAGCGUGUUCAAGCUUCCAGCAUCGGUUUGUGACGAACUUACACGUAUGAUUCGCCAAUACUGGUGGGGUGUUGAGAAGGGAAAAAGGAAGAUGGCAUGGAUGAGUUGGGAUAAGUUGAGGCUUCCUAAGUCCAUGGGGGGUAUGGGCUUCCGCGACAUGAGAUCGUUUAAUCAAGCCCUGUUAGCCAAACAAGCGUGGAGGCUUCUGGAUUCCCCCGAGAGUUUGUGCUGA
RNAcentral lists this ribosomal RNA (1389 nucleotides) under Triticum aestivum (bread wheat). Its description in RNAcentral is "partial small subunit ribosomal RNA". The record is from RNAcentral. Lineage: Eukaryota; Viridiplantae; Streptophyta; Magnoliopsida; Poales; Poaceae.